Molecule: long non-coding RNA, 2452 nt
Filed under: Triticum aestivum (bread wheat)
Lineage: Eukaryota; Viridiplantae; Streptophyta; Magnoliopsida; Poales; Poaceae
Description: long non-coding RNA (TAES_LNC022845)
Source: RNAcentral
CGGUGGCCAGGUCGUCCUCCUCUAGUCCGGUGAGUGCAUCCCCUCCCCUGGUUUCAUCAUUUAUCUCCCUCUUUCUCAUCUCCAACGCGGGGCGCUAGGGGAGGCGCUAGGAUUUUUUCCCACUUGAAUUCCUGACCGAUUUGCGGUUGAGGCCGUCAAAUCCUGGCGUCGGACGCUUCGUCGGCGCAAAGAUAUGCAGCGGGCGCUUCCCUCCUUUCUUCCCCGCAUCAGCCGCAUGUGCAGUUUAAUUUAGUGUUUGAUUAGCGUUGGCAGUUAGUGUCCAGCGUUGGAAGGCAGGGCACUUAGAUGUUUUUCAAUUUAAUGUUAUUUUCACUUUCUUCUGUAAGCACCUAGCCAAGCGGCGAGCGUUGUAGAUGCCCUAACCUCUGCUCUUUUCUUCUCCUGUAGACGUGCAACCAACUGGCUGUAUAACCCUUCUCUCUACAGGGAAAACCAAUCCCAGGUGAACCAAUCCUAACCAUAGGUGCUGCCCACGACAUGGGUGACAUGAUGGAAGUAACCAAGUCCUCCAUUGUCCAGUCAUGGACGCGACUCAGUUCCUGUCUUCAGGUUUGGCCCCGUUAUAGGUAAGUGCUCAUGUCCCCAUUGAAGAAAAAUAAACGUAUGUGUAAAAUCCUCUUAUCAAUUUAACCAUUAGAUUUUUUAUUUUUUUCACUGAAAAAUUGUGCUGCUUUGUGGAAUUUCUUCAUCUUAUAAUGUUCUCCCAUGUAGUAAUUUGAACAGAUGAAGCAUAAAUAUACUAUUUCUGUUGUACACCUUAACUUAGUAUACGAUGGCUUGCUGUGCACAUGCUACAGCCAUGAUAUGUAUAUGGUUCCUUAUGUAUUGCAACGAUGGCUUUGAAACUGAGCAGAAUUAUUUCUUUUGCUGUUUAAUGGUUAGUUAUUGAUUUAUAUUUUGAAGAUUCUGCUCCUGUUUCCCUUCCGAAAUAAAAGUUGAUCUUCAAGUUUUCUUAGUCACACAUAUGAUUAUUAUGUACGACUACAACAUCAGCAAGGUGUUUUUAAUUAUUACCAAGUGAUGAAUAUUUGAACCACUAUUUGGCUGUAAGUUAGAUGCUUUCCCUUGCUUUCCGAAAAUAAUAUAGGUACUUCUGUUACAGCUCCGAGCUGAUGUGGUGUUACCUCAGUACAGUGUCCAAUAUAAAUUCUGUUAUGUAUUCAUAUGCACUUCUAGUCAAAAUAAAUCACAGUUGCAUUAUCUUUUCGUGAACAUGGUAUCUCGCUGUAUCCUUUAAAAAUCAUGAAUAAUAUUUAAAUAUUAGAAGUUUACCUUUUCAACUAAAAAGGAUAUUGUUAUUGUGGUUAACAUGAGUUCAGGACACAGUGCUUCUAUAGAUGUAUUUCUUCGGAUACUAUUCUCCACUAAAAGUCAGGAACGACUUCUAUUCUGCCUAUUACAUGUAUACAAUCUGGAAAGAACUAAUGCUUUAGUUCUGCAAAUUCUUUAUGGAAAGGGAAAGAACAAACUAGAUACAAGGAUAACCUUGAUGGACUAUUAUUUUUUAAUACUAUCAUCCUGUACUCAUGAAAUACACUACAAGGAAAUAAUCACCUAUAGGUUGUCCCUAGGCUGGUGCAGGGCUGGUGAUGACCAUGUAAAUUAAUUUCAGUGGAUUUGGGAUUGUAGGUUGGUUUCAAAGCGUGGUGAGCACUUAUAGGUUUCCCUAUUUCCUGUUGGAUGACCGAAACCAACUAGAAAUAGAUGUUUUGGUUCAGUUUCAGAUGACAAACCGUUUUGGUCUAGUUUGCUAACUAACUGGAGAAGAAAAGAGAAGUGGUACUGUCAAUCACAUUGCCCUAUGCACAUCACUUAGGCCAAUGUCUAUAUAAUUUUAAUUAGCCAUGUUUUCUGCAGGUUGUGUCGUAUAUUGUGGCGUCUGGAUUAGUCAUCAAGGACAACUAACACUCAUGCUGCUAUCUUCACAUAAUCACAUACGAAUUUGUGUUCAAAUUGUAGUGCUAUCUUGUUUAUUUGUUUCUUCUUAUUUGCUAUUAGACUGCUGUCCAGACCAAAAAAAUGUGCUGAUGAGCAGUAAGUGUGCGCAAAGUGGUUCUUACUUCUUAAUGCACUGUGUGUUAAUGGUUCAUUUUGUCAUUUUCUUUGUAGAGUCAAAAUAUACAUGGAUGAUUAUAUGGGUGCAUGGCAAGUACACUGCGAUGUGAUGAUGAUGAUGAUGAUGAUGAUGAUGCUGUUCCAGUUCAUGAUGAUGAUGAUGGAUGCUUUCAGUUUUAGUUAAGUUGUAGGGAUGUUGUUCCUAUUCGAUGAUGUUCCUCGGUUAUGUUUUAGUUAAGUAUCAGGGAUGUUGAUGGAUGCUUUUAGUUUAAGUUUCUUUGUCGAGAAUAUAUUUAGAUUUGCAUCACAUUUGGAUGCUCUUCCUCCUGUAUAUCCACUACUGUAAUCCAACAAUUUUAUCCAAUAUAUGAUUUCU